GACGAACGCUGGCGGUGUGCUUAACACAUGCAAGUCGAACGGAAAGGCCCUGCUUUUGUGGGGUGCUCGAGUGGGGAACGGGUGCGUAACACGUGAGUAACCUGCCCUUGACUUUGGGGUAGCUUCAGGAAAGUGGGGCUAAUACCGGAUAGGAGCCCCUCUUCCGUGGAGGGGGGUGGAAAUUUUCGGCGGGUGGGGAUGGACGCGCGGCUUAUGAGCUUGUUGGUGGGGUAGGUGCUUACCAAGGCUGGGGACGAUAAGCGGCCUGAGAGGGGGGACGGCCACCAUGGGCCUAAGAUACGGCCCAGACGCCAACGGGGGGCAGCAGGGGGGAAUAUGGCACAAUGGGCGGAAGCCUGAUGCAGAAACGCUGGGUGCGGGAAGACGGCCUUUGGGGUGUAAAAAGCGUUAGCCUGUGACGAAGCGUGACUGACGGUAAUGGAUGAAGAAGCACCGGCUAACUACGUG
Molecule: ribosomal RNA, 468 nt
Filed under: uncultured bacterium
Lineage: Bacteria
Description: partial 16S ribosomal RNA
Rfam family: Bacterial small subunit ribosomal RNA
Source: RNAcentral